This 501-nucleotide ribosomal RNA is filed under the name uncultured bacterium. RNAcentral describes it as "partial 16S ribosomal RNA". It matches the Rfam family "Bacterial small subunit ribosomal RNA", at positions 30 to 523 of the family's 1533-position model. The record is from RNAcentral.
AUUGAACGCUGGCGGCAGGCUUAACACAUGCAAGUCGAGCGGAGAUGAGGUGCUUGCACCUUAUCUUAGCGGCGGACGGGUGAGUAAUGCUUAGGAAUCUGCCAUUUAGUGGGGGACAACAUUCCGAAAGGAAUGCUAAUACCGCAUACGUCCUACGGGAGAAAGCAGGGGAUCUUCGGACCUUGCGCUAAAUGAUGAGCCUAAGUCGGAUUAGCUAGUUGGUGGGGUAAAGGCCUACCAAGGCGACGAUCUGGAGCGGGUCUGAGAGGAUGACCCGCCACACUGGGACUGAGACACGGCCCAGACUCAUACGGGAGGCAGCAGUGGGGAAUAUUGGACAAUGGGCGGAAGCCUGAUCCAGCCAUGCCGCGUGUGUGAAGAAGGCCUUUUGGUUGUAAAGCACUUUAAGCGAGGAGGAGGCUACUAGUACUAAUACUACUGGAUAGUGGACGUUACUCGCAGAAUAAGCACCGGCUAACUCUGUGCCAGCAGCCGCCGUAA